AAAAAAUAAUUCACUAAGAGAAAAGAUUACAAGGUGAUUACCGACUCCACGGACUCAACCUCUCUUAACCUCCUAUGAAUCUUCGCGCUACCCUCCGGGUUGUCCACGCCCUCACGUUCGAAUCCACGAACGCCUCUACUUCGAAUCCACGAAGCUUCAAUCACGCCGAAUCCACGACGCCACUCGAAUCCACGAGCCAACGAUCCGAAUCCACGAACCGCCUUUGUUCACGUCGAAUCCACGACGCCGUUCAUGAAGAGCAUCAUGAUUACGGUGAUCCUUCGCUUAGGAGUAUCAUAA
This 300-nucleotide long non-coding RNA is filed under the name Ananas comosus (pineapple). Its description in RNAcentral is "long non-coding RNA (ACOM_LNC041855)". Lineage: Eukaryota; Viridiplantae; Streptophyta; Magnoliopsida; Poales; Bromeliaceae. The record is from RNAcentral.